This 715-nucleotide long non-coding RNA is filed under the name Capra hircus (goat). RNAcentral describes it as "lncRNA (ENSCHIG00000001087.1)". The record is from RNAcentral. Lineage: Eukaryota; Metazoa; Chordata; Mammalia; Artiodactyla; Bovidae.
CCAACUGGGAGUCGUUGAGUGGCAAGACCAGGACCGGUAACUCAGUCAAACUUGAUCAAUCAGGACAAGGAGGAGGUGUUGUUAUGAGGGAAUGCUAUCUUCUUCUGAGAAGAGAGAAGAAAUUUCAUUUACUCAAAAAAAUCGAGUGCUUACUAUAUUGCAAGCCCUGCUCUAAGUGUGGGAGAAGUUGAAGAAAGUAAACAGAUCUCCUUCCCUUUAGAACCUCCUUUCUAUGGAGGAGGACAACGGGGGAGUGAGCCCUGGCCCUCCAGGGCUGCAAGUGGACUUGCUUACUUGAGAAGAGGAGUGGAAGAGGUCUCCUGCCUUUUCAUAAGAUGUCUGCAGGAAAAUGACGCCUAGUCGGUUUCUCUGUGAUUAUCUGCCAUGUAUAAGCAAGAAGAAGACUCUGGCUGACAAAUCAGGACUUUCUCCAGACUCCUCGGGGUGAAGACCUCUUGGCUGGCACACACCUUUGGCCAAAUAAUGAAGAGGCUUUGGGCCACCACUGAGGCCAUGAGAGAUAUUUCCAAGCGCAUUGACAGCGUCCCACCUCAGCUCAACACCUGCCUACUAUCAACAUGUCUGAGAAAACUUCUCCUUUUCGCCUCCAAAAAGCAAGAUACUCCUUUCAUUGAAUCUUAAACCAUCAAACUGGGCUGAUCCACCUGCAUAUCACUCCCCUGACAAGUAAGUGAAAGUUAUCAAAAUAGAAAAA